This 1975-nucleotide unclassified non-coding RNA is filed under the name Hevea brasiliensis (rubber tree). Lineage: Eukaryota; Viridiplantae; Streptophyta; Magnoliopsida; Malpighiales; Euphorbiaceae. The record is from RNAcentral.
UCUUCUUCUUCUUCUUCUUCAGUUAUGUUGCACAAGUUUCUUCUGGUGAAGUUAUGAUAAACGAUUGGAAGAUUGCAAGCGGAGAAAGUAAUUUUUUAUGGUUACGUGAAUCAUACACCAGUUGUUCGUUGAAAGUCCUAGAAGAAAGACGCGUUGCUUGUUUCAGACCAAGAAGGGUAGGCUUUUACUUGCAAAAGUAUGCAUACCAACAAAUCUAAGAAUUUUUUAUGUUCUAUGUACUCCGCAGUUUCGCAUAAUCAAGUGCCACUCGAGCUGCAGGAGAUGUGCAAAGUUAUUUCCACAUCUAUUGGUAGUUUAGACGAUUUGGAAUCUAGUCUAGAUGGAUUUAGAGUUUCUUUGACAUCACCUCUUGUUACUCAAAUCAUGGAUUCUUGCAAACACGAGGCUCCAACUAGAAGACUGUUAAGAUUUUUUCUGUGGUCGAAUAAAAGACUGGUUUCUGAGAUGAAAAAUGAAGAUUUUAAUCAUGCAAUUCGAGUUUUGGCAGAGAAGAAGGAUCAUACAGCAAUGCAAAUUUUAAUUUCAGAUUUAAGGAAGGAGGGUCGUGUGAUGGAGGCACAAACUUUUGGUCUUAUAGCUGAGACAUUGGUUAAAAUAGGUAGAGAAGAUGAGGCAUUGGGUAUAUACAAGAACUUGGACAAGUUCAAGUGCCCUCGAGAUAGUAAAACUGUCACUGCCAUUGUCAGUGCUCUUUGUGCCGAAGGUCAUGCUAAGAAAGCAUAUGGGGUGUUUUGGCAUCACAAGGAUUUGUUAUCAGAGGUCAAGCCUUGCAUUUAUAGAAGUCUUUUAUAUGGGUGGUCAAUGCUGGAGAAUGUGAAGGAAGCACGAAAGAUUAUCAAAGAGAUGAAGGGGGAUGGGAUAAUGCCGGAUCUGUUUUGUUUUAAUACAUUUCUCAAGUGCCUAUGUGAGAGAAAUCUCAAACGCAAUCCAUCAGGACUUGUGCCUGAAGCUUUGAAUGUGAUGAUGGAAAUGAGAUCUUACAGGAUAGAGCCAAACUCAAUUAGUUAUAAUAUUUUGCUUUCUUGUCUUGGAAGGGCAAGAAGAGUCCAGGAAUCUUGUAGGAUGCUUGAGCUAAUGAAAAAAUCAAAUUGUGCUCCUGACUGGGUUAGCUAUUAUCUUGUUGUAAAAGUAUUGUAUUUGACUGGGAGAUUUGGUAAAGGGAUUAAGAUAGUGGAUGAGAUGAUUGCAGCGGGCUUGGUCCCGGAUCAUAAAUUUUACUAUGACUUAAUUGGUGUUCUUUGUGGAGUUGAGAGGGUGAAUUUUGCUCUCGAGUUGUUUGAGAGAAUGAAAAGAAGCACAAUAGGUGGUUAUGGGCCAGUAUAUGAUGUGCUGAUACCUAAACUUUGUACAGAGGGGAACUUCGAGAAGGGUAAAGAGCUAUGGGAUGAGGCCAUGGCCAUGGAUGUCACUCUUUGCUGCUCAAUUGAUGUGCUGGAUCCCUCAAUUACCAAGAUUUUCAAGCCAACAAGGAAGGUGGAGGAAGAGGUCAGGCUUCAGAAUUGCAUCACAGCCAACAUUCCUAAGACUCAAGCACAAGUUAGCAAGACUAGGAGAAACGUAAACAAGAAAAUGGAAAGUAAGAAGAGACAGAAGAAAUCUGCUUCAAGAUAACUGGUAACUUAUAAUGCUUUAUUCCAGCUGCGACACUUUAUCCAUGUUCUUAACUUCAGUCAUUAAAAGAGUAAAUUAUUUCCUGCAUCAUUUUUCAGACUAAUUUCAUAAUACAUGUAAACACACGUGUCAAGCAAUCUGUCAAAUUUUAGACGAGGUUGGUUCAUAUUGUCCCUAUUAAUUCACUUAACUGGUUUAUUUCUUGAUGUGCCCAGUUGGCAAUUCCACUGAUGUGUCUCAGAAUUAUAAAAUUUAGCAUGUCCCCUAUUUGCAACAGUAUUUAAUGUUUAUCCAAAAGGAUUACUGCCUGAAGCCAAAUAGGUAUGAGUGGCUGAAGAUUUUC